This 70-nucleotide ribozyme is filed under the name Rodentolepis nana. Its description in RNAcentral is "Hymenolepis nana HDV ribozyme from F. prausnitzii". It matches the Rfam family "HDV ribozyme from F. prausnitzii". Lineage: Eukaryota; Metazoa; Platyhelminthes; Cestoda; Cyclophyllidea; Hymenolepididae. The record is from Rfam by way of RNAcentral.
GGUGUGCGAUAGACUUACCUCUCCGUGGUGCACCCUGGGCAACGUAUUCUCAUACGGCAAAAAAGUCUAU